GCUUCCGUGGCGCAAUUGGCAGCGCGUCUGAUUGUUAAUCAGGAGGUUGGUGGUUCGAGCCCACCCGGGAGCG
Molecule: non-coding RNA, 73 nt
Organism: Spinellus fusiger
Lineage: Eukaryota; Fungi; Mucoromycota; Mucoromycetes; Mucorales; Phycomycetaceae
Source: the annotation of a GenBank genome assembly